AUUGAACGCUGGUGGAAUGCUUUACACAUGCAAGUCGAACGGCAGCACGGACUUCGGUCUGGUGGCGAGUGGCGAACGGGUGAGUAAUGUAUCGGAACGUGCCCAGUCGUGGGGGAUAACGUAGUGAAAAUUACGCUAAUACCGCAUACGAUCUAUGGAUGGAAGCGGGGGAUCGCAAGACCUCGCGCGAUUGGAGCGGCCGAUAUCAGAUUAGGUAGUUGGUGGGGUAAAGGCCCACCAAGCCAACGAUCUGUAGCUGGUCUGAGAGGACGACCAGCCACACUGGAACUGAGACACGGUCCAGACUCCUACGGGAGGCAGCAGUGGGGAAUUUUGGACAAUGGGCGAAAGCCUGAUCCAGCCAUUCCGCGUGCAGGAUGAAGGCCCUCGGGUUGUAAACUGCUUUUGUACAGAACGAAAAGGUUUCUACUAAUACUAGGAGCUCAUGACGGUACUGUAAGAAUAAGCACCGGCUAACUACGUGCCAGCCGCCGCGGUAA
This 500-nucleotide ribosomal RNA is filed under the name uncultured bacterium. Its description in RNAcentral is "partial 16S ribosomal RNA". It matches the Rfam family "Bacterial small subunit ribosomal RNA", at positions 30 to 523 of the family's 1533-position model. The record is from RNAcentral.